GGACCCGUAGCUCAGCCAGGAUAGAGCGCCGGCCUUCGGUCUAAUGAGGAAAGCCGGUGGUCCCGGGUUCAAGUCCCGGCGGGUCCG
RNAcentral lists this transfer RNA (87 nucleotides) under Stygiolobus caldivivus. RNAcentral describes it as "Stygiolobus sp. KN-1 tRNA-Arg". It matches the Rfam family "tRNA". From Rfam's summary of the family: Transfer RNA (tRNA) molecules are approximately 80 nucleotides in length. Their secondary structure includes four short double-helical elements and three loops (D, anti-codon, and T loops). Lineage: Archaea; Thermoproteati; Thermoproteota; Thermoprotei; Sulfolobales; Sulfolobaceae. The record is from RNAcentral.